GCCUGAGCCCUGCCCUAAGGAUUGUAAAAUAUUGCUGGGCUCAGCACCCAGGUGAGAGUGCGACAUACCUGGGCUCAACUCACAGCUGUGGGGAUUGUGACACAUACCUGGGCCCAGUACCUAGGUGAUGUGGCUCUCUUGCUUGGGACCUGCCAAACAGGGGACUUUAAUAUACCUGGGCCCCACACCUAGGUGAUGUGACUCUUCUGCUGGGCCUCGACCAUAAGAGAGAUUGCGAUAUAUACAUGGGCCCAGCCUUCAGGUGAUGUAGCUCUUCUGCCUGAGCCAGGCUCACAGGGGGAAUUGUAAGAUUUAGCUGGACCCAGCUCACAGGCAAUGAUGACUCUCAUACCUGGACCCAGUGAAGAGGAGACAUUCUGACUCUCAUAGCUAGCCUUAAGGAAAUAGGGAAAGUGCAAGAACCACCAGGUCUUAGGGCACAUGGCCAGGACCAGGAGGUACCCAGUGAAGUGCUCUAAUGUGGUCCUGUCCCACAGCCCCUGAACCAAAUAAGGACAAGCAGAACCUGAAACCAAGGAAGGCUUGGGAACUGCAGACUCCAGGACUCUUUACUAAGACUAACAGGAGGAAUGAAGGCAAAGAUCAGAUACCUGCAGGGUUGAAACCGUACCCAGACUUUGGAAUUUUAGUGUCUCCUUCUUUACUCUGUGUCCACAGCCCUCUUUAAGAGUGGAGAGAGAAACAUAAUAGAAAUACAUGAAGAGUCUGGGUGCGGUGGCUCACGCCUGUAAUCCCAGCACU
This 762-nucleotide long non-coding RNA is filed under the name Homo sapiens (human). RNAcentral describes it as "long non-coding RNA NONHSAT179555.1". The record is from RNAcentral. Lineage: Eukaryota; Metazoa; Chordata; Mammalia; Primates; Hominidae.